RNAcentral lists this transfer RNA (82 nucleotides) under Sarcinofilum mucosum. RNAcentral's name for it is "tRNA-Leu". It matches the Rfam family "tRNA". Rfam says of the family: Transfer RNA (tRNA) molecules are approximately 80 nucleotides in length. The record is from RNAcentral. Lineage: Eukaryota; Viridiplantae; Chlorophyta; Ulvophyceae; Ulotrichales; Sarcinofilaceae.
GCUCUUCUGAUGGAAUUGGUAGACGUGCGCGCCUUAGGAGCGCGUGCCGAAAGGCGUGGGGGUUCGACUCCCCCGGAGAGCA